Molecule: ribosomal RNA, 127 nt
Organism: Salvator merianae (Argentine black and white tegu)
Lineage: Eukaryota; Metazoa; Chordata; Lepidosauria; Squamata; Teiidae
Source: Ensembl
GAAUCUGUCUAAUCUGUCCUUAAAGCUAUCUAGCCUGGGUGAUCUUAACCCUUUAAAAAGCUAAGCAGAGUCAGUCCUGGUUAGUACUUGGAUGGGAGGCCACCAGAAAUGCUCAGGGAUCUAUUUU